Molecule: non-coding RNA, 21 nt
Filed under: Caenorhabditis elegans
Lineage: Eukaryota; Metazoa; Nematoda; Chromadorea; Rhabditida; Rhabditidae
Source: RNAcentral
UGAUUUUAACUUUAUUAUCUU